Molecule: ribosomal RNA, 466 nt
Filed under: uncultured bacterium
Lineage: Bacteria
Description: partial 16S ribosomal RNA
Rfam family: Bacterial small subunit ribosomal RNA
Source: RNAcentral
CGACCGCUGGCGGCGUGCUUAACACAUGCACGUCGAACGGAAAGGCCCUGCUUUUGUGGGGUGCUCGAGUGGCGAACGGGUGAGUAACACGUGAGUAACCUGCCCUUGACUUUGGGAUAACUUCAGGAAACUGGGGCUAAUACCGGAUAGGAGCUCCUGCUGCAUGGUGGGGGUUGGAAAGUUUCGGCGGUUGGGGAUGGACUCGCGGCUUAUCAGCUUGUUGGUGGGGUAGUGGCUUACCAAGGCUUUGACGGGUAGCCGGCCUGAGAGGGUGACCGGCCACAUUGGGACUGAGAUACGGCCCAGACUCCUACGGGAGGCAGCAGUGGGGAAUGUUGCACAAUGGGCGGAAGCCUGAUGCAGCAACGCCGCGUGCGGGAUGACGGCCUUCGGGUUGUAAACCGCUUUCGCCUGUGACGAAGCGUGAGUGACGGUAAUGGGUAAAGAAGCACCGGCUAACUACGUG